CCUACGGGUGGCUGCAGUGGGGAAUAUUGCACAAUGGGCGAAAGCCUGAUGCAGCAACGCCGCGUGAGCGAUGGAGGCCUCGGGUCGUAAAGCUCCGUCCUCAAGGAAGAUAAUGACGGUACUUGAGGCGGAAGCCCCGCCCAACUACGUGCCAGCAGCCGCGGUAAUACGUAGGGGGCUAGCGUUAUCCGUAAUUACUGGGCGUAAGGGGUGCGUAGGUGGUGUCUUAAGUCCGAGGUGAAAGGCUACGGCUCACCCGUAGUAAGCCUUUGAUACUGGGGAACUUGAGUGCAGGAGAGGAGAGUGGAAUUCCUGGUGUAGCGGUGAAAUGCGUAGAUAUUAGGAGGAACACCAGUUGCGAAGGCGGCUCUCUGGACUGUAACUGACACUGAGGCACGAAAGCGUGGGGAGCAAACAGGAUUAGAUACCCUUGUAGUC
RNAcentral lists this ribosomal RNA (438 nucleotides) under uncultured bacterium. RNAcentral describes it as "partial 16S ribosomal RNA". It matches the Rfam family "Bacterial small subunit ribosomal RNA", at positions 338 to 795 of the family's 1533-position model. The record is from RNAcentral.